Molecule: ribosomal RNA, 457 nt
Filed under: uncultured organism
Description: partial 16S ribosomal RNA
Rfam family: Bacterial small subunit ribosomal RNA
Source: RNAcentral
ACACUCCUACGGGAGGCAGCAGUGGGGAAUAUUGCACAAUGGGCGCAAGCCUGAUGCAGCGACGCCGCGUGGGGGAUGAAGGCCUUCGGGUUGUAAACUCCUUUCGCUAGGGACGAAGCUUUUUUGUGACGGUACCUAGAUAAGAAGCACCGGCUAACUACGUGCCAGCAGCCGCGGUAAUACGUAGGGUGCGAGCGUUGUCCGGAAUUACUGGGCGUAAAGGGCUCGUAGGUGGUUUGUCGCGUCGUCUGUGAAAUUCUGGGGCUUAACUCCGGGCGUGCAGGCGAUACGGGCAUAACUUGAGUGCUGUAGGGGUAACUGGAAUUCCUGGGGUAGCGGUGAAAUGCGCAGAUAUCAGGAGGAACACCGAUGGCGAAGGCAGGUUACUGGGCAGUUACUGACGCUGAGGAGCGAAAGCAUGGGUAGCGAACAGGAUUAGAAACCCGUGUAGUCCCAU